Molecule: ribosomal RNA, 484 nt
Filed under: uncultured bacterium
Lineage: Bacteria
Description: partial 16S ribosomal RNA
Rfam family: Bacterial small subunit ribosomal RNA
Source: RNAcentral
AUUGAACGCUGGCGGCAGGCCUAACACAUGCAAGUCGAGCGGAUGAAGGGAGCUUGCUCCUGGAUUCAGCGGCGGACGGGUGAGUAAUGCCUAGGAAUCUGCCUGGUAGUGGGGGAUAACGUCCGGAAACGGGCGCUAAUACCGCAUACGUCCUGAGGGAGAAAGUGGGGGAUCUUCGGACCUCACGCUAUCAGAUGAGCCUAGGUCGGAUUAGCUAGUUGGUGGGGUAAAGGCCUACCAAGGCGACGAUCCGUAACUGGUCUGAGAGGAUGAUCAGUCACACUGGAACUGAGACACGGUCAAGACUCCUACGGGAGGCAGCAGUGGGGAAUAUUAGACAAUGGGCGAAAGCCUGAUACAGCCAUGCCGCGUGUGUGAAGAAGGUCUUCGGAUUGUAAAGCACUUUAAGUUGGGAGGAAGGGCAGUAAGUUAAUACCUUGCUGUUUUGACGUUACCAACAGAAUAAGCACCGGCUAACUUCGUG